UCAGAUUGAACGCUGGCGGCAGGCUUAACACAUGCAAGUCGAGCGGUAGCACAGGGGAGCUUGCUCCCUGGGUGACGAGCGGCGGACGGGUGAGUAAUGUCUGGGAAACUGCCUGAUGGAGGGGGAUAACUACUGGAAACGGUAGCUAAUACCGCAUAACGUCGCAAGACCAAAGAGGGGGACCUUCGGGCCUCUUGCCAUCAGAUGUGCCCAGAUGGGAUUAGCUAGUAGGUGGGGUAAUGGCUCACCUAGGCGACGAUCCCUAGCUGGUCUGAGAGGAUGACCAGCCACACUGGAACUGAGACACGGUCCAGACUCCUACGGGAGGCAGCAGUGGGGAAUAUUGCACAAUGGGCGCAAGCCUGAUGCAGCCAUGCCGCGUGUGUGAAGAAGGCCUUCGGGUUGUAAAGCACUUUCAGCGAGGAGGAAGGUGGUGAACUUAAUACGUUCAUCAAUUGACGUUACUCGCAGAAGAAGCACCGGCUAACUCCGUGCCAGCAGCCGCGGUAAUACGGAGGGUGCAAGCGUUAAUCGGAAUUACUGGGCGUAAAGCGCACGCAGGCGGUUUGUUAAGUCAGAUGUGAAAUCCCCGGGCUCAACCUGGGAACUGCAUUUGAAACUGGCAAGCUAGAGUCUCGUAGAGGGGGGUAGAAUUCCAGGUGUAGCGGUGAAAUGCGUAGAGAUCUGGAGGAAUACCGGUGGCGAAGGCGGCCCCCUGGA
RNAcentral lists this ribosomal RNA (720 nucleotides) under bacterium BM0460. RNAcentral's name for it is "bacterial SSU rRNA". It matches the Rfam family "Bacterial small subunit ribosomal RNA", at positions 24 to 733 of the family's 1533-position model. The record is from RNAcentral.